GACGAACGCUGGCGGCGUGCUUAACACAUGCAAGUCGAACGAUGAAGCCGGAGCUUGCUCUGGUGAAUUAGUGGCGAACGGGUGAGUAACACGUGAGUAACCUGCCCUUGACUCUGGGAUAACUGCUAGAAAUGGUAGCUAAUACCGGAUACGACCCUCGGCGGCAUCGCCAGGGGGUGGAAAGAAUUUCGGUCAAGGAUGGACUCGCGGCCUAUCAGCUAGUUGGUGAGGUAACGGCUCACCAAGACGACGACGGGUAGCCGGCCUGAGAGGGUGACCGGCCACACUGGGACUGAGACACGGCCCAGACUCCUACGGGAGGCAGCAGUGGGGAAUAUUGCACAGUGGGCGCAAGCCUGAUGCAGCAACGCCGCGUGAGGGAUGACGGCCUUCGGGUUGUAAACCUCUUUUAGUAGGGAAGAAGCGAAAGUGACGGUACCUGCAGAAAAAGCACCGGCUAACUACGUGCCAGCCGCCGCGGUAA
Molecule: ribosomal RNA, 484 nt
Filed under: uncultured bacterium
Lineage: Bacteria
Description: partial 16S ribosomal RNA
Rfam family: Bacterial small subunit ribosomal RNA
Source: RNAcentral